This 197-nucleotide microRNA precursor is filed under the name Oryza glumipatula. RNAcentral describes it as "MIR1435 microRNA precursor family". It matches the Rfam family "MIR1435 microRNA precursor family". The record is from Rfam by way of RNAcentral. Lineage: Eukaryota; Viridiplantae; Streptophyta; Magnoliopsida; Poales; Poaceae.
UUUACUUUUCUUAAGUCAAACUUCUUUUUGACCAAAUUUAUAGAAAAAUAUAGUAAUAUUUUUAACACAAAACAGAGAAACUAUUAAAAUAUGUUCAAUGUUAGAUGUAAUGAAACUAAUUUGGUGAUAUAAAUGUUAUUAUAAUUUUCUAUAAAUUUGAUCAAACUUUUAAUAAGUUUGACUUAAAAAAAAUCAAA